Molecule: transfer RNA, 72 nt
Filed under: Monosiga brevicollis
Lineage: Eukaryota; Choanoflagellata; Craspedida; Salpingoecidae
Rfam family: tRNA
About the family: Transfer RNA (tRNA) molecules are approximately 80 nucleotides in length. Their secondary structure includes four short double-helical elements and three loops (D, anti-codon, and T loops).
Source: Rfam by way of RNAcentral
GCCCAAGUGGCGCAAUGGUAGCGCGUCGCCCUCCUAAGGCGGACGUUGUGGGUUCGAGUCCCACCUUGGGUG